AGUGAACGCUGGCGGUAGGCCUAACACAUGCAAGUCGAACGGCAGCACAGUAAGAGCUUGCUCUUACGGGUGGCGAGUGGCGGACGGGUGAGGAAUACAUCGGAAUCUACUUUUUCGUGGGGGAUAACGUAGGGAAACUUACGCUAAUACCGCAUACGACCUACGGGUGAAAGCAGGGGAUCUUCGGACCUUGCGCGAUUGAAUGAGCCGAUGUCGGUUUAGCUAGUUGGCGGGGUAAAGGCCCACCAAGGCGACGAUCCGUAGCUGGUCUGAGAGGAUGAUCAGCCACACUGGAACUGAGACACGGUCCAGACUCCUGCGGGAGGCAGCAGUGGGGAAUAUUGGACAAUGGGCGCAAGCCUGAUCCAGCCAUACCGCGUGGGUGAAGAAGGCCUUCGGGUUGUAAAGCCCUUUUGUUGGGAAAGAAAAGCAGCAGGUUAAUACCCCGCUGUUCUGACGGUACCCAAAGAAUAAGCACCGGCUAACUUCGUG
Molecule: ribosomal RNA, 492 nt
Filed under: uncultured bacterium
Lineage: Bacteria
Description: partial 16S ribosomal RNA
Rfam family: Bacterial small subunit ribosomal RNA
Source: RNAcentral